RNAcentral lists this microRNA precursor (67 nucleotides) under Bombyx mori (domestic silkworm). RNAcentral describes it as "mir-2774 microRNA precursor family". It matches the Rfam family "mir-2774 microRNA precursor family". The record is from Rfam by way of RNAcentral. Lineage: Eukaryota; Metazoa; Arthropoda; Insecta; Lepidoptera; Bombycidae.
ACCACAUUUGGCCCGUCGGUCUACCGAGCAAUAUCGCCCACUCGGUGGAAUGUCUUCCCUUCGUCGU